GCAUGGGAUGGAUUAUGGCCGUUCCAUGCAUUGGACGCAUGAGGCGACGCGGUCCUACGUUCGAGACAUGCCUCCUGCC
Molecule: transfer RNA, 79 nt
Filed under: Streptomyces sp. YIM 121038
Lineage: Bacteria; Bacillati; Actinomycetota; Actinomycetes; Kitasatosporales; Streptomycetaceae
Description: tRNA-Pro
Source: RNAcentral